UGAGGAAUAUUGCACAAUGGGCGCAAGCCUGAUGCAGCAACGCCGCGUGGAUGAUGAAGGCCUUCGGGUUGUAAAAUCCUUUUUCUGGGGAAAGAUAAUGACGGUACCCCAGGAAUAAGUUCCGGCUAACUACGUGCCAGCAGCCGCGGUAAAACGUAGGGGACGAGCGUUAUCCGGAUUUACUGGGCGUAAAGCGCAUGUAGGUGGCUUGAAAAGUUGGACGUGAAAGCUCCUGGCUUAACUGGGAGAGGUCGUACAAAACUAGCAAGCUUGAGGUUGGAAGAGGAGAGCAGAAUUCCCGGUGUAGUGGUGGAAUGCGUAGAUAUCGGGAGGAAUACCGAUGGCGAAGGCAGCCCCCUGGGCUAACACUGACGCUCAUGCACGAAAGCGUGGGGAGCAAACAGGAUUAGAUACCCAAGUAGUCCCUGAGCGGGCUGGCAAGGCGCAU
This 448-nucleotide ribosomal RNA is filed under the name uncultured bacterium. RNAcentral's name for it is "bacterial SSU rRNA". It matches the Rfam family "Bacterial small subunit ribosomal RNA", at positions 355 to 825 of the family's 1533-position model. The record is from RNAcentral.